Long non-coding RNA from Odocoileus virginianus texanus, 419 nucleotides. RefSeq lists it as uncharacterized. Lineage: Eukaryota; Metazoa; Chordata; Mammalia; Artiodactyla; Cervidae. The record is from RefSeq and is a predicted model, not a curated record.
UCGAACUGAGGUCUCCUGCAUUGCGGGCAGAUGCUUCACCUUCUAAGCCACCAGGGAAGCCCGAGUCUUGUUGGGGAGCAGAGGUCCCUUAAAGGAAGAGUAAACGCCGGUCAAACGCUGCUGCCAGAUAACGGAAAAUGGAAACCGACCCUGGGCCAACCCUUUACUUGAAUGUAAGCUUACGCUCUACAAGGCCAAGGACUAUACCUUGUUUAUCUUUUUCUUCCCUCAUUGGGUCCAACCUGUGGCCAAGUUCAUGGAGAAUGGACAGAUUUAGAGAGACAGAAGCCUAUCAAGGACCCCUAUAAAUAACUAUGAAGCUGCCGCUCAUGUAGAAUUCCUGAAGCAUGGCUACAAACCCUCUUUUCCUUUUGGGAGAAAGGAGAAGUGUUUGGCAUUGGCAGAUCUUUCUUUUUUUU